GCGGGCGUGGCGGAACGGCAGACGCGCCGGACUUAGGAUCCGGUGGGGGUGACCCCGUGAAGGUUCAAGUCCUUUCGCCCGCACCA
This 86-nucleotide transfer RNA is filed under the name Bacillota bacterium. RNAcentral's name for it is "tRNA-Leu". It matches the Rfam family "tRNA". Rfam says of the family: Transfer RNA (tRNA) molecules are approximately 80 nucleotides in length. The record is from RNAcentral. Lineage: Bacteria; Bacillati; Bacillota.